Molecule: RNA transcript, 1370 nt
Organism: Pistacia vera
Lineage: Eukaryota; Viridiplantae; Streptophyta; Magnoliopsida; Sapindales; Anacardiaceae
Gene name: CLIP-associated protein-like
Exons: 5
Source: RefSeq, a predicted model, not a curated record
AAAAUUAAUUUGGUCCCAAAAAAACCUAAAAUUGAUGCAUUUUAACACAAACCCAAAUCAAAGAAAUUGCUCCCCUCCCUCCUGCCAUUACCAUCGGAACAGCGCCCCAUGUUGCUGUUUGUUCUUAGCAAAACCGAAGCUUCUCCUUCUCCUCUACAUCUUCUUCUUCCUCCACCCUUCUUUUUCAGUUUAAUUGUGUUUUCUUUUCAAGUUGGUUGUGAUUACUGUACUUGUAAUUGUAGAGUCUGCAGAUAAUUGCAUAAAGACAGUAAAUUUUUUUCUUUAAUACUCAAACAGUUUGUCCCUUUUAUACAAGUCUUUUGAUUUUUCCUAUUUGAAAUGUUUUGAAACUCUCUCUCUCUUCCAGAUGUUACAUAAUUGCAAAGUUGCUCAUGUACUUCCUCGCAUAGCUGAUUGUGCAAAGAAUGAUCGUAAUGCAGUGCUCCGUGCAAGGUGUUGUGAAUAUGCCCUGUUGAUAUUAGAACAUUGGCCUGAUGCUCCAGAAAUAAAGCGAUCUGCUGAUCUAUACGAAGAUUUUAUUAGGUGUUGUGUUGCUGAUGCAAUGAGUGAGGUACAAUCAAUUGCAACAAUGUGCUACACACUUUUUUGCAAAGACUUGCCCAGAGCGAUCCCGUCGCUUAUUUUCAUCCUUUGAUACGGUCAUGCAAAGGAUAAUUAAUGAAGAUCAUGGUGGGAUGCAUAGGCGACAUGCUCCUCCUUCUCUCCUGGCCCUCCUGUCUUUACUUCACCAGUUAGGCCUGCUGCUGUGCCUUUUUGGACAUCUCCUGCAACUCUACAGCUUGUGGCAUUCUCUUCAGGUUCAUCUUUGCCCACAUCUUCACCUCCCCAUUUCUCUAAUAGGUCAGCUGAGUUGCAGCACCAAGUUCCUGAUGUUAUUGAGGAAACAACGCCUUAUGGGGAAUCUUCAUGUGUUAUGUUUUCAGCUCAUAAGGUGUUGAAACAGAAGAAACAAGCAAAUGUACCCAGUUUAGGUUUUGGGGCACUAGUUUCCCCUGGGAGAGAGGUUUUACCGAUUUAUGUUUUACUUAGUAGAUGAAACCAGCAUUUAGUAAUGUAAAGUCAUUCCAUGAUGCAGUGGUGACUGAUUGCUUGAAUGAUUAAUGAGUUAAAAGUGUAAAUAAUUUAUCAGUAAUCAGAACCAACUUUGAAGCAACGAAGGUAGAAAGAAAAGAAGGCAUCUGAAGCUAAUGGAGAUACAAAAGCAUGGAAUAGAUUUAGCUGUGUUUUUUUAGCAGAAAGUGUAUUUAGUUAGAAAGGGUUGGCACGAUCCAUAGAAUCUUUAGAGUAGGGACUGAAAGUGUAUUUAGUUGAGACAAAAUGCAUGUUUUGAUCCGUUGUUAUUUUGGGAA